This 250-nucleotide unclassified non-coding RNA is filed under the name Basidiomycota sp. RNAcentral's name for it is "partial contains small subunit ribosomal RNA, internal transcribed spacer 1, and 5.8S ribosomal RNA". The stretch from base 1 to 47 matches the Rfam family "Eukaryotic small subunit ribosomal RNA", at positions 1785 to 1831 of the family's 1831-position model. Lineage: Eukaryota; Fungi; Basidiomycota. The record is from RNAcentral.
AAAGUCGUAACAAGGUUUCCGUAGGUGAACCUGCGGAAGGAUCAUCACAGGGUCUGAGAGGAUGCACACCGUGAAUGGUAUGGAGGGCUGCGGGGUGGGUUGGCGGGUAGAGGGGCGUGACGCGCAAGCGUGACACGCACCACCGCCCGCCAGCACGCCCAGCGGCCGCAUUCGUGCAGACUACACUAUGCAACCACAUAAAAGCAAAAUAAGCACAACACAACUUUCAACAAUGGAUCCCUUGGCUCUC